This 548-nucleotide long non-coding RNA is filed under the name Brassica napus (rape). Its description in RNAcentral is "long non-coding RNA (BNAP_LNC003518)". Lineage: Eukaryota; Viridiplantae; Streptophyta; Magnoliopsida; Brassicales; Brassicaceae. The record is from RNAcentral.
UCCAAGGCGAGGUAUGCUUCGAUCUGGUUAGGAACCGAUGGAGGCUCCCAUUGCUUGGAGUUGAAGAGGAGACCCAACUCAGCAGGGAUUGAAUCGAAACCACAAGCGGAAACGAUUAGAGAGCCAGUCUCUUCUGCUCUUUCGUGGUACUUAGCUUCCAUCCUCUCCAUGAACUCUGGCUCACCACUUAUAUCCAAAUAAUCACACCUACACACACAAAGUUCAACUUUUUAAGUUCACACUCACCAGAGAGAAAACAGAGGAAAAGACGAUUUUAUCCUGAGUCCCCGCAACAAAGAAGCAAACCAAACAUAACAAGAUUUACAUAUUUGUCAUCAAAGUUACAAGCUUUAACCAUUACUUUAGAUUGCAUCAAGUUUAACUUUUUUUUGUAAGUUGACAGAGUAACAAGUGAAAACAGAGAAAAAACACGAGUUUACCCAGAGUCGGCACAAGCGGCGACGACGGGAUCGCCAUGGAUACGGAACGGUCCGACACAGUUGAGGAUGAGUUUGGUCUGAGUACAGAGACGGCGAAGUGAAUCCGGG